AGUGAACGCUGGCGGCGUGCUUAACACAUGCAAGUCGAACGAGAACGGGUUAUAGCUUGCUAUAAUUGUCAGCUAAGUGGCGCACGGGUGAGUAAUGUAUAGGUAAUAUGCCUCUUACUAAGGGAUAACAAAUGGAAACGUUUGCUAAUACCUUAUACUCCUUACUAACUAAAGUUAGUAAGGGAAAGAUUUAUUGGUAAGAGAUUAGCCUGUAUUGUAUCAGUUAGUUGGUGGGGUAAUGGCCUACCAAGACAAUGACGCAUAACUGGUUUGAGAGGAUGAUCAGUCACACUGGAACUGAGACACGGUCCAGACUCCUACGGGAGGCAGCAGUGGGGAAUAUUGCACAAUGGACGAAAGUCUGAUGCAGCAACGCCGCGUGGAGGAUGACACAUUUCGGUGCGUAAACUCCUUUUAUAUAAGAAGAUAAUGACGGUAUUAUAUGAAUAAGCACCGGCUAACUCCGUGCCAGCCGCCGCAGUAA
RNAcentral lists this ribosomal RNA (484 nucleotides) under uncultured bacterium. RNAcentral's name for it is "partial 16S ribosomal RNA". It matches the Rfam family "Bacterial small subunit ribosomal RNA", at positions 29 to 523 of the family's 1533-position model. The record is from RNAcentral.